Molecule: long non-coding RNA, 3038 nt
Filed under: Gallus gallus (chicken)
Lineage: Eukaryota; Metazoa; Chordata; Aves; Galliformes; Phasianidae
Description: lncRNA (ENSGALG00010027549.1)
Source: RNAcentral
AAACAGAGCGCGGACCAUAAUGCAGCCAGCAGCAUCCCCUCUUUUACACCCCACAGGCUCCAUCUUCUCAAUGUUAUGGAGGAAAAUAAUUUCACAGCCAGUAAACUAGGCUAUUGUGUUCUCCAAGGAAAGAAUUUGUGUGCUAUGCCGCUGCAUAACGGCCAUAGGGGAGUUGCUCUGCGAAACCCUUUCCUUCUCCCUCCCUGCCAGUAGUUGCCUUAGUGACAAAACUAAUCGCUGCUGGUGCCCCUGCUCCUGUGAACAGGAGAAAAACAAAACCAUUUUUAUUGCUGUUCCAGCAAUCCUCUGCAAGUCCAACCUCAAGACGAAAUGUGCUGAUUAAAAGAUACGCUGCAGGUACUGGAGGAACACAAUGAAAAGGCAGAGUGCAGUGAAUGAAUCUUGUCUCUCAGCAGUGCUAUUUGAAGAACUUCUUGAAGCCAGUGGAUUUGUGUUUGGAGGGGAGGAAUUGAAUCUCCAAUCAAGCAGUUUUCAGACCAACUCACAGGAUACUUAAAAUUACAAUUUACCACUGCCUAUGUAAUCCAGGAUGGACAAGGUGAUGGCUUUUCUGGAAUAAUUGAAACAUCUCUUAUCUGUAUAAAAUGUUCCCCAUCAUUACUUCACAGUGGAGCAUAACUGGGCUACUUGAAAGGAACUACCACUAAGAUGCAGGUUUUUGGGACACCCAGGUCUCCGUGCUGUUGUGCAAUGAGAUGCAUGCUUCUGAAGCAGGACACAAAAUAAACUGUGAUGUAAUAAAACAAAACAAAACAAAAACAAACAAACAACAACAACGACAACAAAAAAGACAGGAAAACAUGAGGAAAAGAAAAGCCUCAUUUGAGCUUAUCACUGCCUUGUUUCCUGUUGGCCAUGAGUCAUUCCAGCAAGUCAUUGAGGAUAUUGUUCUGGAUUCCUCUCCAAACAUCUGUUGCCUUCAGAAUCUACUAAGAAAUGAGCUCUUAUACAGACAUGACAACUCCAACUACUUCUAGCAUUUUGCACUUUACUUCUACGGGAGCUGUGUUUUUAUCCAAGUGUAAAAUGCUCCAUGUAAACCAUGAGUUUGAGGAUAGAAGCCUUAUUUUCUCUAAACCUAAGGAAAGAAAAAAUGAAAGUGAAUAAUAGGAAAAAUAAAAAAUAAAAAGUCAGACUUGGAGAUUUCUGCUCUUUCCACUGAACUUCUCUUUGCAUGAGUCAGAGGAAGGUGUGAAAUUAUAAGAAGAUCACCCUGUGAAGAUCUAUGAAAAUCUAGUCAGAUAAUCAACUGAGACUGAAGAAUGAUUCUUCUCAACCUGAAGUGCACAUCUAAAAUAGAUCAGACAGUCAAACCUCAGAAUUGCUGGCUGUUAAGUGAGGUCAGCACGACUAGCUUUGUAGCAGAAGUUCACUACAGAUGUCUAAAGCCAGAUGAGAAGUAUCACCUCAUUAAUCAAUUCAAGCACAGUAUGAAUGUAGUAAAGGACCAGCACACCAGCAAAGGCAGCUAUACAAAAGCUCUUCUGUGUGUUGAUAGGCAGUAGAGGUGCCAGUGAUAAAUUGGGCUGCACGUGGAACAAGAUUAAAAGUAUUAAGUUGGAGUGCAUUGCCUUGUACAUGAAUUUACUGAGUAGCUUCAAAGGGAAUGUAUGUUCAGUUAUGAUGGUUUGAGGGGAAAAAAAUUUUGUCAUUUUGUAUUGUCACAAAGGAAGACAUUCUACGUAAGUGCUAGAAGAUAAGGGAAAUCAUGGAAAACCUGAAGGAUUCAGAAAGACUUGGAUUGUUAGCAUUUGGAAGGAGACAAAGAAAUAUAGCAAUAAAAGCUGGGUUCACUGUGGUUGUAUGCUUGUUUUGUCACAGAUGUUCAGGGCACAAACUACCCUAACAAUGGCAUCCCUAAACUUGGUGUCCAGAUCUGAGAUAGUCACCUUGGGCUGCAAUAGAAGGGAAAAUGAUUAUUCUAUACUUACCAUUAGCAAGUGAUAUUCUUCCAUGUCUUGGAAAGCAGGGUCUCAAUGGACAUAGCAGCCAUUUGGGAGGACAGACAAGUUGAAAAGUGGUACAGGGGGUCUGCUUCUCCUCUCACUGUAGAAAUGAGCUAUGGACCUCACUGUUGCAUCAAUUGACUGACACUGCUCCAAGAUGAGUAAGAUUCAAAGAGAAACAGUGAUUACAUGGCUGAAAAGAAUAUCCAGAUAUAGCACAAAAGAUAAAAUUACACAGGAAGGCUAUAAAAUCUUCAGAUUUGAAAAGAUCAAGAUAUCCUUUAUUUUUUGUUGCUCAGAAGAGAUAAUCUGGGUUACAGACUGUAACGUCUGCUUAUUACAAACCAUUUUACACUUUUCGCCAGUCAAUGUUCUUUCUCAGGAAAGAAGUCCCUAGGCUAUUUCUCUGAUCCUAUAUGGACAUUUUUAUGUUGCUAGAGAAGAUGGAAGUCUCCAUUUGUGUUUAACAUGGGAUUUCCUCUUCUAGAUGGAAAUCAUCCAGUCUCAUUGAUUAAGUGCAAUUUCCACACACUUCAGUACAGCUCUGCAGGAUUUAAUGACUGCACCCAGCUGAGCAAUAUUCUCUGGAUUUGAUUCACUAUACAUAUUAAUUUUAGAGCCUGUCUCAAAUAACCUUCAUUGAUUUCUUCAUCAUAUAUACAAGUCUAACCUUGUUUGACUGGUUGCUUGAAAUGCAGUGCCAUUAUUCAGUGGAACAGGAAUUAAGACAGGCUGAUGUGGCUGAACAGAAUUAACGGUUUAAAAAAGUUGUCUGUCUGUGCUGAUGCAUUUGAGAAGAAAAGUGAUGGGGAUUCUGAGCACAGCGAGACCUGCAAGGUGCUUUGUAAAGCAAGUUACUUUCAAGAGAGAAAAAAAAAAACCAAAAACUGUCUGAAUGGUACAUUAGGCAUGAUCUGAUAAUAACCCCAAAAAUGUCUAGAAUGGAUACAAAUUGCAAAUCCACAGCUGUGACAAUGCAACUAUGGAUUUCUGGCCUCAUAGAUUUAGAGGAGCAAUAACUGCCAUUGCCAAACUAGUUAAAAGCAACGGCUGAAAGCGUGUAAGUUAGAC